This 1219-nucleotide long non-coding RNA is filed under the name Lynx pardinus (Iberian lynx). Lineage: Eukaryota; Metazoa; Chordata; Mammalia; Carnivora; Felidae. The record is from RNAcentral.
GAGUUCACUUUCUUUUCCUCCCCCGCGCUCUCCCCCUCUCCCUUCCCGCCGGCCCCCUGGAAGCCUCCGGCUCGGCCGGAGAGGCCGGGCCGGAGUUUUCGGUUUUCGGCGGGGGGAGCCGGAGGACGGCUGGCGGCGAGGGAGGAGGAAGAGGGAGCGGGAAAGGUGAGGCGAGCGGGGCGCGGUGCCAGGGAGCGGCAUCCAGGACCUUAAUUGUGCGACGGGGGGACGCGCCGGGCCGAGUGUGCCCGAGACCAGGCGCGUACACGUGUCCGUGUGUGUGCGUGUGUAUGUGUGUGUGCGCGCGCGGGUGUGUGUGCCAGAGGAGGCGAGCCUACCAUGCGCUUCCCCCGGUGCAGAUCGCGGGAGAGCCCAAUCACGGGGCGAGCUGGACCGGGCUGUGAUCAUUUAUAAUCCUGGACUCCUCCGCUCCGCCACUUGUCAAGAUGACAGGUACUUUAUUUCUUCUUCUUCUUAAUUCAAGAAAAAAAAAAAAGAGAGAUUCCCCGUUUACUGCCGUUUUCUGUCAAAUGGGAUUUGCCGGACUGAACCACGUUCGCCGCCCCUCCCUUCUCCCCUCCUCCAGGCCGCGUCGGGUACGGGAAAGCUCCGAGGCUCCCAUGCUGUGACCAAUCAGUGCCUCUACUACUCUUGCCGUGAUUUAGGGGUCAUCCAUGAAUAACACUUCACGCUGAUGAAUGGCUCUUGCAGGCUUUCGGCUCUGAUGAGGGGUCUGCCCGCCGCUGAUUGCAAACACUAAUGAACUCCCAGCGCCAUUUGAAAUUCACACGCACCUACAAAGUGCGGGGGUACGUGCGUGCGGGGGUGGGGGGCGGAGGGGUCUGUCCUUUUCUUCUCCCGGCCGCGCGCGCGCGCGCGCGCGCGGGGAGCGGGGUCGGGGAGGGGGGAAGGGGCGGGUAAUUGCUUUGGACCGAGGUGGAAACACUUCUGUGUGUAAUCAAACCUCUAACCUUCUUAGAAAACUACUUUUCUUGAUCUUUCAUAGGGUGGGCAUUUCAGGUCAGCUGAGUCACCCGAGGAGGUAGGAGUGCAAGACACUGCCGGGAAGAUGGAUUCCGAGGCAGAAGGGUGUAAUUAAGGAUUUCCACUCCCGGUAGGCGGCCCGUCCUUUACAUGAGGAUCUGAAAAUGACCUGCGCCUUCCCCUCCAGAGUGUCCUCUCGUCCCAGACUGAAAAGCGCAAAUGACCUUCGCACGCG